Molecule: ribosomal RNA, 253 nt
Filed under: uncultured bacterium
Lineage: Bacteria
Description: partial 16S ribosomal RNA
Rfam family: Bacterial small subunit ribosomal RNA
Source: RNAcentral
UACGGAGGGUGCAAGCGUUGCUCGGAAUUAUUGGGCGUAAAGGGUAGGUAGGUGGUCUCAUUUGUCUGGGGUGAAAGCCUUGAGCUUAACUCAAGAAGUGCCCCAGAAACGGUGAGACUAGAGUCUUGCAGAGGGGGGUGGAAUUCCGCGUGUAGCAGUGAAAUGCGUAGAGAUGCGGAGGAACACCGAUGGCGAAGGCAGCCCCCUGGGCCAACACUGACGCUCAUGCACGAAAGCGUGGGGAGCAAACAGG